AUGGGAUGGCUAAGUUAAUUUCUGGUGGCCGUAGCUUUCUUAGCCAUCGAUUCUCUCCGAAUACCUUUGGAUCAAAUUCCAUCAAUCAGCUACCGACUUACAUGAAACUAGCUCACCUCCUUUUGGUGCCGCUCUUUGGGUAACCUUCAUCGGUGGCAUCAUCAUGUUCAAGAAUCUACCAAGGCAUCAGUUUGGCAAUUUGCAACGUAAGAUGUUCCCUGCAUAUUUUUGGUUGGUGGGGUUGUGCUGUGCCAUAUCUGUGGCAUCAUUUGGUUAUUUGCAUCCAUGGAAAUCAGCAUUCACUACGUGGCAUUAACGAGUUGCUUGUUGUCUCUCUGAGGUUUUUAUUGUAUUCCAUGUGUUAGUGUUUUAUGUUUUUUCUUAAAUUUGUGCAUUUUGCUUUGACUUGGCUAUUUAGAUGAUGAGGCAAAGGCACAAGGUGGAGCGAGAACAGAACAUUGGAAAUGAAGUUGGGUGGUCACAGAACCAGGAAGUUGCAAAGGUUAAUCCAAAGCUUGCUGCAAUGAACAAGAAAUUUGGCAUGAUCCAGGUUUUUCAUCCCUUGCUAAUAUUAUGUCUUUUGGAAGCCUAGCCAUGCACUCUUGGUACUUAGCAGGAAAGAUGACUCUGUAAUUUGCACUUCGGAUGAAGGUUGUUACUGGCUAUGAAUUAAAGUGCUUUCUGACUGUUCCUGGCCAAGCUAUAGUGGUGGAACCAGAAAUUGGCAUUUUAUUUUCUCUUAUAAAA
This is an RNA transcript of Hevea brasiliensis (rubber tree), 747 nucleotides long. RefSeq lists it as uncharacterized. NCBI's taxonomy places the organism in Eukaryota, Viridiplantae, Streptophyta, Magnoliopsida, Malpighiales, Euphorbiaceae. The transcript is spliced from 3 exons. The record is from RefSeq and is a predicted model, not a curated record.